Fragaria vesca subsp. vesca is the source of this 4045-nucleotide RNA transcript. It is a transcript of the gene named translocase of chloroplast 120, chloroplastic-like, with no coding region annotated. The transcript has a single exon. NCBI's taxonomy places the organism in Eukaryota, Viridiplantae, Streptophyta, Magnoliopsida, Rosales, Rosaceae. The record is from RefSeq and is a predicted model, not a curated record.
AUGGAAAAUGGUGAUGGGAUUGUAGGUGGGUCUCACUCGAGUGAGGUUUUUGAGGAGAGGGUUCUAGAGGAUUCUAAUGGCGUCAGGGAUGAUGUGGAGGAAGAAGUGUUUGAGGAGGCGGUAGAGACCGGGGCUGGGGCUGUCGGUGACAGUCCUCGUGCCGAGGAUUUUGAAGAGGCUAUCGAGGUUUUGGAGGAGGCAGGGAAAAGCAAGGAGGAGGAGGGGGCUGUGGGGAAUGGUGGGGAGCAAGUAGAAAAAGUGGUGGGUGGGGAUAGUGUUGAUGUGGACGAGACUGUGAAGGAAUCAGAGACCAGUGAAUUGAAGGGAGUAGUGGCAGAGGUAGAGUUGGUGGGUACCUUAGAAGAUGCGGAAAAAGAUGUAUCCGAGGCUGGUGCUGAUGGACAAGUAGAAGUUUCGACAGUUGGGAAUGAGGAUGACUACAUGAAGUCUGAGAUACACGAUUCUAAAUCUAAUGGGUUGUUGGAUGUAGCAAACAAGGUUUCAGGGAUCGGUGCGGGUGGAGAAAUACCAAUUUUGACUGAUGUGGACGAGGUUGGUGUAAAUCCUGUUGAGGUUGCUGAGAAUGACAAGUCUGAGAAGGAAGAGCUGGAUAACUCAGUUUUGGAGGUAGUGCCUACAGAUGAAAAAUUGGAGAGUGACGGUGCUAAUCCUGAUUCUCCUAGAGUCACUGAAUUUAAUGUGGAAAUUUUGAAGGAAGCUGGAAAUGGUCAGGAAGUAAAGGGGAAUACCUCGAACACAGAUUAUCAAUAUGAGAAGACUGCUGGUGCUACUAUGAAGCUUGAAGAUGAUAAGGAUGUGGAAAUGCAAGAGAGAAAUAUGGAUUCUGAGCAUACAGAAUGUGAGAGUACUGACUCAAAAGAUGCUAUGUUUAUCACUGAAGCAAUGCAAGUGGAUAAUAAAAUUGAAGAACUGAGAGGCAGUUUGACUUGUACAGAUGCAGAAGAUCAAGACUUAAAGGAAGUGAAAAGUGUUUCAUCUGGGCUAGAUUUGGAGCAUGAUGUGGAAAUAUCUGAACUUAAAGGCUUUUCUUCAGAACAACAGCUGUCAGGGGUAGAAAGUCCUGUGGCAUCUGAAAUGGCCGCUUCAGCUGUUUGUGGAAGUCCUGCAACUGAGGACGGAGAGAAGAUUCAGGUUGGCGGCUCUGAUUUGAGAUCGGAGAAUAUCAAAGAUGAUGAACCUCGGCAAGGUGAGGUUGCUCAUGUAGUUUGCAACAAUGCUGCUGUGCCUGAGGAAGCUGAAAAGAGAGAAAACAAUCAUGUGGAGAAGGGUAGCAACAGAAUGAAUAGAGUGCAGGAGGUCCAGCAUGCACCAGCUCAUGGUUCCUCUAGAAAUUCUACAAAUCCCACUCCCCUUCCCGCUCGUCCAGCUGGCCUUGGGCGCGCUGCCCCGCUUUUGGAACCUGCACCUAGGGUGGUACAGCAGCCUCGGGUAAAUGGUACAGUAUCUCAUGUGCAAAACCAGCAAAUUGAGGAUCCCAUUAAUGGAGAGGCGGAGGAGUCAGAUGAGACUCGUGAAAAGCUUCAGAUGAUCAGAGUGAAAUUUUUGCGGCUGGCGCAUAGGCUUGGGCAGACUCCACAUAAUGUUGUUGUGGCUCAGGUUUUGUACAGACUGGGGUUAGCUGAGCAGCUACAUGGAAGAAGUGGGGGUCGUGUUGGUGCCUUUAGCUUUGACCGUGCAAGCGCUAUGGCGGAGCAGCUAGAGGCAUCUGGGAAUGAACCCCUUGAUUUCUCUUGUACAAUUAUGGUUCUUGGAAAGUCGGGAGUUGGUAAAAGUGCCACCAUAAAUUCUAUAUUUGAUGAAGUGAAGUUUAAUACUGAUGCAUUUCAGAUGGGGACAAAGAAGGUUCAGGAUGUUGUGGGUACUGUGCAAGGGAUUAAGGUAAGGGUCAUUGACACACCUGGGCUUCUACCUUCCUGGUCGGACCAGCGUCAGAAUGAGAAGAUACUGCUUGCUGCUAAGCGAUUUAUCAAGAAAACUCCUCCAGAUAUUGUGUUGUAUCUUGAUAGGUUGGACAUGCAGAGCAGGGAUUUAAGUGACAUGCCACUCUUGCGCACAAUCACAGAGAUCUUUGGGGCGACUAUAUGGUUCAAUGCAAUUGUGGUUCUGACUCAUGCUGCAUCAGCUCCGCCUGAGGGCCCAAAUGGAGCUGCUUCUAGUUAUGACAUGUUUGUCACUCAACGAUCUCAUGUUGUCCAGCAAGCCAUUCGUCAGGCCGCUGGGGAUAUGCGCCUUAUGAAUCCCGUUUCCUUAGUAGAGAACCACUCUGCUUGCAGGACCAAUCGAGCUGGCCAGAGAGUCUUGCCAAAUGGUCAGGUUUGGAAGCCUCAUUUGUUAUUGCUCUCUUUUGCAUCCAAGAUUCUUGCUGAAGCUAAUGCACUAUUGAAGUUGCAAGACAGUGCUCCUGGAAGACCUUUUGCACCACGAUCUAGGGCACCUCCAUUACCUUUCCUUCUUUCCUCACUUCUUCAGGCAAAACCGCAGUUGAAGCUGCCUGAGGAUCAAUUUGGUGAUGAUGAUGAUGAUGAUGGUGUAGAUGAUGAUCUGGAUGAGUCUACAGAUUCUGAAGAUGACUCAGAGUUUGAUGAAUUACCACCAUUCAAACGUUUGACUAAGGCCCAGGUGGAGAAACUCUCAAAAGCUCAGAAAAAGGCAUAUUUUGAUGAGUUGGAGUAUAGAGAAAAGCUUUUCAUGAAGAAACAGUUGAAGGAGGAGAAAAAGCGACGAAAGUUGAUGAAAAAAAUGGCAGCUGCAGCAAAGGAUCUACCAAGUGAUUAUGGUGAAACUGUAGAGGAAGAGAGUGCAAGUGCAGCAUCUGUACCCGUUCCCAUGCCAGAUUUACCCUUGCCUGCCUCCUUUGAUUCUGAUAAUCCCACUCACCGUUAUCGAUAUCUAGAUUCUUCCAACCAGUGGCUUGUAAGGCCUGUUUUAGAAACUCAUGGUUGGGAUCAUGAUAUUGGUUAUGAGGGCAUAAACGCAGAAAGAUUGUUUGUCUUAAAUGGCAAGAUACCCUUAUCAUUUUCUGGCCAGGUCACAAAAGAUAAGAAAGAUGCCAAUGUCCAAAUGGAACUAGCUAGUUCAGUAAAGCAUGGGGAAGGGAAAGCAAGUUCAGUAGGACUUGAAAUGCAGACUGUUGGAAAGGACUUGGCGUAUACUCUACGAGGUGACACAAGGUUCAGUAAUUAUAGGACGAAUAAAGCUAGUGCUGGUGUUUCAGUCACCCUCUUGGGUGAUGCUCUAUCGGCUGGGUUGAAAAUUGAAGACAAAUUUAUUCCUCAUAAACGGUUUCGGUUGGUUAUGACGGGCGGUGCAAUGACUGCUCGUGGGGACAUUGCUUAUGGUGGUAGUUUGGAGGCUCAGUUAAGAGACAAAGAUCAUCCACUAGGUAAUGCGCUAUCAACUUUUGGGCUUACUGUGAUGGAUUGGCAUGGAGAUCUUGCUAUUGGAGGUAAUGUACAGACUCAGAUUCCCGUUGGGCGACAUACAAAUCUUAUAGCUCGUGCCAAUAUAAAUAAUAGGGGAGCCGGACAAAUGAGCAUCCGCGUAAAUAGUUCAGAACAGCUUCAAAUAGCUUUGAUUGGUCUCAUUCCUCUGCUUAGAAAGUUGUUCACUUACCCUGAAUAGUUGCAGUAGGGACAAUGAUGAAAAUUAGAUCAAUAAUUGUGAAGCAGCAGCCUUGCGGAAAUAGGUCGUCAGCAAGAGUGAGCGAGGAGGUCAUAGUGUGAUGGUUCACCACAAGUGAGUGAUACUAAGCUGCUGGUCUUUACCCAUACCAAUCUGGAAGUACUGUUUCUAUUGAUCAUAGUGAGAUUUUUGAGCAUCUUAAUUAGAUACAGUUGGUUAAUUUUUGUUCUUGUUAAGGUACUGGACCAAAUGUUUGCUUAUUCUUGAAUCUGGCCUUUGUCUUUAUUCUCAAUGUGGGUGUGAAAAUUCGUUUAUAUAGGCAAAAGUAGUUCAGGCAUCUCUUCCAUUUCCUUUGCAUAUAAAAUUUCGCAACUGCGCAGUUUAUUAGCAUUUCAUCAAAUUG